Molecule: ribosomal RNA, 431 nt
Filed under: uncultured bacterium
Lineage: Bacteria
Description: partial 16S ribosomal RNA
Rfam family: Bacterial small subunit ribosomal RNA
Source: RNAcentral
AACGAACGCUGGCGGCAUGCCUAACACAUGCAAGUCGAACGAGACCUUCGGGUCUAGUGGCGCACGGGUGCGUAACGCGUGGGAACCUGCCCUUAGGUUCGGAAUAACUCCCCGAAAGGGGUGCUAAUACCGGAUAAUGUCUUCGGACCAAAGAUUUAUCGCCUUUGGAUGGGCCCGCGUUGGAUUAGCUAGUUGGUAGGGUAAAAGCCUACCAAGGCGACGAUCCAUAGCUGGUCUGAGAGGAUGAUCAGCCACACUGGGACUGAGACACGGCCCAGACUCCUACGGGAGGCAGCAGUGGGGAAUAUUGGACAAGGGGCGAAAGCCUGAUCCAGCAAUGCCGCGUGAGUGAUGAAGGCCUUAGGGUUGUAAAGCUCUUUUACCCGGGAUGAUAAUGACAGUACCGGGAGAAUAAGCUCCGGCUAACGCCG